ACAUACUUAGUUUUAACUUAGAAUUCUAUUUUGUCAAAAUAGGGGUGAUAUUAUCAGUGUGUU
This 63-nucleotide transfer RNA is filed under the name Sphyranura euryceae. RNAcentral's name for it is "tRNA-Asp". The record is from RNAcentral. Lineage: Eukaryota; Metazoa; Platyhelminthes; Monogenea; Polystomatidea; Sphyranuridae.